RNAcentral lists this transfer RNA (72 nucleotides) under Caudoviricetes sp. Its description in RNAcentral is "tRNA-Gln". It matches the Rfam family "tRNA". Rfam says of the family: Transfer RNA (tRNA) molecules are approximately 80 nucleotides in length. The record is from RNAcentral. Lineage: Duplodnaviria; Heunggongvirae; Uroviricota; Caudoviricetes.
CGAUCAGUAGCACAAUGGUAGUGCAACAGAUUUUGAUUCCGCGGGCUGUUGGUUCAAGUCCAAUCUGCUCUG